This 347-nucleotide ribosomal RNA is filed under the name Kellia japonica. RNAcentral's name for it is "partial 16S ribosomal RNA". It matches the Rfam family "Bacterial large subunit ribosomal RNA", at positions 1862 to 2515 of the family's 2925-position model. The record is from RNAcentral. Lineage: Eukaryota; Metazoa; Mollusca; Bivalvia; Galeommatida; Lasaeidae.
CCCGGUGAGGUUUUAACGGCCGCAGUUAAGAGCUGUGCUAAGGUAGCGUAAUAAGUUGUCCUUUAAAUGAGGAAAGGAAUGAAUGGUUUGACGUGAAAAACUCUGUCUCUUUAAAAAUAAAUGAAAUUUUCUUUUCAGUGAAAAGCCUGAAAUUUUAUUAAAAGACGAGAAGACCCUGUCGAGCUUGAUAAUACAUAGUAAUAGUGGUGUGGUAAAGUUUGGUUGGGGCGACCUAGGAGUAAAGAAAGACUCCUUAAAGUAAUGAUAAGCCAAAAUUUUUGAAAUAAGAAAAAGCUACCGCAGGGAUAACAGCGUUAUCUUUUCUAAGAGAACAAAUUGAAGAAAAG